This is a small nucleolar RNA of Musa acuminata AAA Group (dessert banana), 93 nucleotides long. RefSeq annotates it as small nucleolar RNA snoR114. Lineage: Eukaryota; Viridiplantae; Streptophyta; Magnoliopsida; Zingiberales; Musaceae. The record is from RefSeq and is a predicted model, not a curated record. The transcript has a single exon.
AGGUAAUGAAGAUAAAUAUGCACCAAAUGUGAUGUAUUUGGGUCCAUCAUAAUCGUACGAUAUCUAUAAGAUGAUUUGAAUGCAUUUGAGCUU